CUUUGAUGAGGAGGGCUCACCUAAAAAUAACGAGAGGGCUCAAUCCAGUUGCAGGCAACGGCAGAAGGAAACAUUUGGCACUACAAAAGUGAAGGAAGCCAUCAUGUGGAACAGAAAGUCUAUCCUUCCCCACCCUAAAACUCCCAAAUUCUGAAAACUGUAAGCACAGCAGAAGAUGAUGCUGUUUGUAGAGAUAUCUACUUAAAAGGACAUUCCCAAUAGGCCCCUAUCUACACUGACGCAGGAGCUGUGGAACAUUUACACACUCCACGGAGCGUAUGCUCAUUUGAGCAAUCCACUAAAAACUUAUGAAUAUCCAUGGCCUUCCACUACGGCAAAGACAUCCACCACUGUGAGCUGAAAGACAACUGGGAACAGAGGGAGGUGAACGGAAGAGACGGGGCUGAUGGAAGAACAGAAGAACCAGACAAAAGUCAUCCAGUGUGGUGUCCCCUUCUCCCCAAUCCUAGCUUUUGAAACGAUGAUACUUCAUGGGUACAGAACAGAUCUCAACUGGAAGAGCUGCUUUCUUAAGGCCCGGAGAAGCCUGCAGAGCAAGCUAAGGUGGAGUUGUUUCAAAACACUUCUAAAGAUCUCUGCCUACUCUUCCCGGUAACCAGUAUCCACCUUUGUGUAGCUCAGCAUCAGCAUUUCAGUUUAGAUGAGAGGUAUGACAUUGAAGGUAACCUCCCAGCCACCCAUACCAGCAGAGCUCAGGUCAUGCCAUGGAGAUGUCCUGGAGCACAAACUGGAUUCCUCCUGGAUGAAACUAGGCAAGAAAGCACACUUAGUGGUGCACAGUCAGUCCAUGGGACCAGACCACAGCUAAUCUGAAGGAAAACCUCACAAAUGUCAAUGUCAACACCAAAUAUUUUACGAAAGGAGAGCUUGUCCUGUGGUGCUACACUGCCUGCUAAAGUAGGCAGAGUCCUGAAGAAAACUGAAAAACUCUUCCGAAGUGGAAAUCUGGUCUCUAUGGAGCUCUCCCAUGAACCUGAGCAAACUGAC
Molecule: long non-coding RNA, 1008 nt
Filed under: Struthio camelus australis
Lineage: Eukaryota; Metazoa; Chordata; Aves; Struthioniformes; Struthionidae
Description: lncRNA (ENSSCUG00000001526.1)
Source: RNAcentral